Molecule: non-coding RNA, 345 nt
Organism: Pelobates cultripes (western spadefoot toad)
Lineage: Eukaryota; Metazoa; Chordata; Amphibia; Anura; Pelobatidae
Source: the annotation of a GenBank genome assembly
CUGAACCCAGGGUGAGGCUUGCUCGCCGAAUAUUAGUCCCCUGGUGAAGAAAUCUUCAAUGCUGAAGUUGAGGCCUACUCCAGCGGUGAGUGGAGCGGACGGCCGCCGCCCCGCUAUCCUGCUGAACAGUGUCCAACCUGGGGCUUAAACCCUCGAGGAACCGGCUCCUUUCCCCCCCUCUGGACCGGCGGGUGAUCCCGAUCCUCACCCUGAAGCCCCGACCACUACGACUGAGACUAAGGCCUAGCAGCACUACCAGUUGCAGACUCUAAGAUGGCGGAGACCGCGCGCCUAACCCCAAGAUCUGAGUGCAUGAAAGAUGUCCACCCCACAAACGCAGCUACC